Molecule: transfer RNA, 24 nt
Filed under: Tabebuia schumanniana
Lineage: Eukaryota; Viridiplantae; Streptophyta; Magnoliopsida; Lamiales; Bignoniaceae
Description: partial tRNA-His
Source: RNAcentral
CGGAUGUAGCCAAGUGGAUNAAGG